GAUGAACGCUGGCGGCGUGCCUAAUACAUGCAAGUCGAGCGAACAGACGAGGAGCUUGCUCCUCUGACGUUAGCGGCGGACGGGUGAGUAACACGUGGAUAACCUACCUAUAAGACUGGGAUAACUUCGGGAAACCGGAGCUAAUACCGGAUAAUAUAUUGAACCGCAUGGUUCAAUAGUGAAAGACGGUUUUGCUGUCACUUAUAGAUGGAUCCGCGCCGCAUUAGCUAGUUGGUAAGGUAACGGCUUACCAAGGCAACGAGGCGUAGCCGACGUGAGAGACUGAUCGGCCACACUGGAAGUGAGACACGGUCCAGACUCCUACGGGAGGCAGCAGUAGGGAAUCUUCCGCAAUGGGCGAAAGCUUGACGGAGCAACGCCGCGUGAGUGAUGAAGGUCUUCGGAUCGUAAAGCUCUGUUAUUAGGGAAGAACAAAUGUGUAAGUAACUAUGCACGUCUUGACGGUACCUAAUCAGAAAGCCACGGCUAACUACGUG
Molecule: ribosomal RNA, 497 nt
Filed under: uncultured bacterium
Lineage: Bacteria
Description: partial 16S ribosomal RNA
Rfam family: Bacterial small subunit ribosomal RNA
Source: RNAcentral